RNAcentral lists this transfer RNA (69 nucleotides) under Gonorynchus greyi (beaked salmon). RNAcentral's name for it is "tRNA-Ser". Lineage: Eukaryota; Metazoa; Chordata; Actinopteri; Gonorynchiformes; Gonorynchidae. The record is from RNAcentral.
GAGAGAGGUCCGACGACAACUGGAGACUGCUAACUUUUAUUUCUAGGGUUAAACCCCCUGGCUCACUCG